CAGCAGCCGCGGGAAAACGGAGGGGGCUAGCGUUGUUCGGAAUUACUGGGCGUAAAGCGCACGUAGGCGGCUUGGUAAGUUAGAGGUGAAAGCCUGGAGCUCAACUCCAGAAUUGCCUUUAAGACUGCCGAGCUAGCAGGUGAGAGAGGUAAGUGGAAUCCCGAGUGUAGAGGUGAAAUUCGUAGAUAUUCGGAAGAACACCAGUGGCGAAGGCGGCUUACUGGCUCAUACUGGACGCUGAGGUGCGAAAGCGUGGGGAGCAAACAGGAUUAGAUACCCCGGUAGUCCCUGUCUCUUAUAC
This 301-nucleotide ribosomal RNA is filed under the name uncultured bacterium. RNAcentral's name for it is "partial 16S ribosomal RNA". It matches the Rfam family "Bacterial small subunit ribosomal RNA", at positions 509 to 807 of the family's 1533-position model. The record is from RNAcentral.